GUGGCAGCACAUUUACUAAGAUAUGACCGAUACAGAGAACAUCUGCACAGCCCCUACGUAGGGAGGACAUGCAUAUUUGUUAAUGUGCUGUAUUU
This 95-nucleotide small nuclear RNA is filed under the name Paramormyrops kingsleyae. Lineage: Eukaryota; Metazoa; Chordata; Actinopteri; Osteoglossiformes; Mormyridae. The record is from RNAcentral.